This 6151-nucleotide long non-coding RNA is filed under the name Homo sapiens (human). RNAcentral describes it as "HSALNT0221764". Lineage: Eukaryota; Metazoa; Chordata; Mammalia; Primates; Hominidae. The record is from RNAcentral.
GGCGCCGGGAGGCAGAGCUGACUCCCGCGGGACUCUACCGGCCUGCGAGCGUUCGUCACGUGCUCGGUGGCUGAGGGGCCGUCCCGGCCGGGCGGGCUUCACCGCGUGGGCGCGGCAGUCGCCACUCACCGAGGUUGACGACCUUGAGCGCCGUGAAGAAGCGGUUCUGCCGGGCCAGGUCCUGCCAGGGAGCCUUGGAGCAGUGGCGUGGGUUCUCACUAUGUUGCUUAAGCUGGUCCAGAACUCAAGCCAGUCUCUCACUUCAGCCUCUUGAGUCGUUGGGAUUACAGAAGCCACCAUGUCCAACUAGACAAGAUCUUGUUGCCCAGGCUGGUCUCAAACUCCUGCGUUCAAAUGAUACUCUCGCCUUGGCCUCCAAAAGUGUUGGGAUUGCAGACCUGAGCUACUAUGCCUGGCUGAAUUCUAUUUCUAUUGGAUUGGUUGUAAAGAAGUGCAUUGUAGCCUGCAAAGGAGCAGGGCCAGUGGGGUGGAGAGGGCAGAAGUGCUACAGAGGCCCCUGCUCUCCACUGCCCUGACUGCUACUGUGCUGGAUGCCGUGUGAACCACAGCUGCAUCUGGAGGCCUUGGGCAGCACCUAACAGGAAGCCAGAGUAGGUCCUCUGAAGGUGUUUGUUCAAUGAACUUGUCAUCCUCCUCAACUUAAAGCCUUUAGCUUUUCCAAUUUGGAGGCACAAAUAAGUGAGAACUUGGGGAUCCACUGAGGUCUGAGGCACGGUGGUACCAGAGGAGAUGAAGGGGCUUUCAGCAUGAAGCUGGUCCCCUGUCGACAGCACGCUGAUUUUCCCGUUGGGCUCUAUCAGCAUGUCCACUGUGAGGCUUGCCUCCACUUUUUCCAGUGCCCACAUUUACCUCUCAGAGUGCAUCAACAAUCGUCAGGACGUUGGAAGGUUCCAAGACAUCUGCAGAAAGCAUGGGGCUCCACCAGCCUGGCCGAUGCACCCCAGAGAUUCUUGUCUACCAAAUGCUUUCUGACAUCCCUACAUGAAGGACUGGAGAGUGAAAAGGGCAAGACAAUGACCUGAAAAAGUAAGCAAGACUGUCAGUGUUGAAAGGAGCCAUGUGGACUAUCUAGGACAAAUGCCUCAUGUCACAAAAGAGGGAACGAGGGCUUCUCCAGUCACACUGGGAGGCCGCAGGUGCUCUCUGGCUGCCUCUGACUCCUGGACCAUGCUUGUGAAAAUACCAGGACGGUAAAUUAGUGAAUUCCAAAGUCAGGAUUUUUGUUGGAUCUGGCACAGUCACAGGAAAGUCUGAGUUUUCUCAAGGGCAUCCCUGUCUCACCGAGGGGCACCAAGGACAGACGACCAGAAGCAAAUGGCGCAGUCACCGUCAGAGGAGAGUAAAACUCAUUCUGAAACGGUUCCAAAUGCCCAUGCCUGCUCUGUGGUUUUCAGCAAAGCGGACCUUUCCAAAAGACCUCCAACAGGGACUUCCUGGAUGUGAGAACACUAACCAAUUCUCGUUCCUCUCAUCUUUUGCUUUAUUCCUUCCUUCCAUGCUGUUAUUGCGAAAAACUGGUAGUUAAAUUCAAUUGAUUCAAAAUAUUCGGGAUCCAUAUGGCCGCCAACCCUGGAGCUGAAGCGGCGAUAGCGCCUCACUGCUGUUUUCAAGCAUUUGCCUCUCCUCCAGUCCCCAGAUGGUGGGAGUAACAUUUAAACCUCCUUUUCUCUGCCUUGUACAAUAGACCUUGGCACCAUUUCAACUGUUUACUCCGGUAAUUAACAGCUCUGAUACCACAACAAUUACAACUCCUACACUCUCACCACAAUAAUGCUAUGAAUUAGUGAGAGCUAAUGGCUGGAAGGUAGAGUGUUUCCAGACUGUGGGAUCUGUGCAUUUUUAGAAUAAAAUAAAAGGUACAAACAGCACGCUUGCAGUAGACAAUGAUUACCUAGUAAUUAGUUUACACAAAGCUUCCUAUUUAAUGGCAAAACGCUGUAAUUAACGUGUGACAGAAAAUCAAAGGGUACUUUGUAAGCAUAUUAAAAAUUAACACUGCAGGCCCAUAGCUUUAUGUACUGAUUAGAAGCAUAUUAAAUCAAUAGGACACACAAACCAACAGCUUGGGUAGCUGAUUAUUAUAGGUCCUCAGAAGGGGUACCCUGGCUUUCAUUUCACUUGGGGAGGCAAUUUUCCUUCUCCUGUCAUCUUCCUCAGGCACAGAGAAACACCUCAAACUCAACCCUGGCAGCUUCAUGAAAAUAACCACUGAACUGGAAGAAAACAUUCUAAGUCAUUCUCAGAGAUGAAGACAAAUAUGUAAAUGAUUAAGACUUUCCAAUGAUUGUGGUGACGUGCUGCUACACUAAUUAGAAAAUACACCAACUGGAACCAGAAAAUAAAGCCACUGGGUUGCAAUCUUCCGGUCAGAAUAAUCUCUACUUUGUCAAGCCUCUUUAUUCAACUCAUAGAAAGUUCAAAUAAAUGGAACUGUUUUAUAUUUCUAAAUGAUAAGAAAGCAGGCUGCUAUGAAGACUUAUUCUUUCCAAGGCACUGUCUGGGUAAAGCAUAGGCUGGGAACAACUGGAUCAACCAACAUUCUGUAUCUUCAACAGCCACAACCCCAUAUAAUGAUGGCUGAUGGACAUAGACAGCAAUAUCCUGGAAGCCUACCAGAGCCUAAAGAACCUUCUGAAUCACCAAAGAAAGAUUAAGUUGUAUGUACUUGUUCAAUGUUACCUGUAUUUUGUUAUAAUACAAUUUUAUGGUAAUAAUAACAACAAUAAUAAUAGGUAGCAUUUCUUAAAGUCUUAUUAUGUGCUAAGCACACUGCUAGCCAAUUCAUAGAAUUAUCUCAUUUACUUGUCACCACUUCCCCAUGAGACAGGUACUAAUCUCUCUUUACAGAUAGAGAAAGGGAGACUUGGAGAGCUGAAGUAAUUUGCCUAUAGUUAUCCCCCAGGGAGCAUGGGAGUCUAACCUAGGUGUCCCUGGCUAUGGAACCCCAGGAAGCCAAACUACCUCUUAGUUACCCUGAAUGACUAGCCUGUUCCAACACUCAUUCUGCUUAAAAGGCAGUUUACUAUGUCAACCUGGAAUAGGAGACUAAAAAAAUUAAAACAAAAACAAAAUAUUUGGUUGCUUAUUUUUUUAAAAAACAGGGUGUUUCUGCUUUUAGAGAUAGGAGUCUUGUUCUGUCACCCAGGCUGGAGAGUGGUGGUGCAGUCAUGACUCAUUGCAGCCUCAAACUCCUGGGCUCGAGUGAUCCUCUUUCUUCAGGCUCCUAAGUAGCUGGAACUACAGGCACACACCUAAUUUUUAAAUUUUUUGUAGAGAUAGGGUCUCACUAUAUUGCCCAGGCUGGUCUUGAACUCCUGGCCUCAAGCCAACUCCCACCUCAGCCUUCCAAAGUGUUGGGAUUACAAAAUAUUACAGGAGUGAUCGACUGCACUGGGCUAAAAACAAGGGUUUUAAAUGCUUACCAUAUUUUUAAUGCUACAUCUGAUUGUGAAGGUGGGCUACUCAAAGCUUUUUGGGAAUUUACAGGCUCACUAAAAUGAUCACGAUAGUGUAUUAAAUUGAGAAAGGCAUUGAAAAUCUGUCAUUCCCAUGAACAACCAAAGGGUGAUGUCUAAAAUUCUCUCUCAUCACCCAUGCACAUAACCAGGUAUAUGAGGCAGUUGGGUUGCAAGAGCUGAAUCCUAGAAACUCCUAGGCAGGGCUCCUCCUCUCCAGCUCUGAGGUGUGUGUAUUGAUGGCCCCCUACACCUCCCAGUUUGCUGCCUUGUGGGAAAAGGAGACCAGCUCUUCUGUUAUCUAGGAAAGGGAAGAAAUUUGAGAGCAGUGGCCUCUGUGUUCCAGGAAUAUUUGCGUUUCCCACAAAUCUCUGGAAAGCAGAAAGCUUGCCACAAGGGCAGCACACGGUAUGAGUCACAAAGGCAAGGACCUGAGGGAGAACACUUCCCAGGACUUUCAAAUAAGGUCUUUCCUAAAUGUACUUGGCUCAGUGUGGCAAAAGCACUGGGCUAGCAGCAGUCAGAUGUGGGUUCAAAGCAAGGCACAAUCAUUUAUUAGCUAUAAAUUUGGGCAAGUCACUUCUUGAGAAUAAGUUUCUUCAUCUGUAAACAGAAGUAAUACCUUCCUUAUAUCUUAAAUUGGUGUGGAAGUAAAUGAGUAAAAACCUCAGGGUUUUUCUGAGUUUAAAUGAGACAAUUCAUGUAACGUGCUUAGCACAAUACCUGGUACCCAGUAGGUACUCUGCAGUAUUUAUUGAUGAUGAUGAUGAUGAUGAUGAUGAUGAUGAUGAUGACAAAGAAAUACAAGGAAAUGUCAACACCUUAACAGUGCAUUCAUAGAUCUACAAAAUGCUUAAUCUCAGUGUUCUGGCAACCACUAAAUACAUAAAGAUAAUCUAAGACAUCAAGAUUUCAACAUAUAAAAAUAAAUAUAAAAACAAGUGAACAAUAAUCAUUUAUAUGUAGUUUCAUGACUGGAAAAAAUAAUAACCUAGAUUUUUUCUUAACCUAGAAAAUCUAGAUUAAAAAAUAAAGAUCUUGCAUUUUUGAUAUAAAACACAAAUAAUAAGGACAUGAAAAAAGAAUAUCCCUUGCUAGUAAUCAAAUAAUAGCAAUGAGAAGCUGGAUUCUUAUAUCUAAAAUAAAAGUGCAAAUAGUUCAUAAUAUCCAUUGGUGGUAAGGUUGUGGUAAAACUAGUAUUCUUAUUCUCUGCCAGUUGCUUUGGAAAUUGGUACUAUCUUUUUAGGAAUAUGGCAAUAUGUAACAAAAGCCAUAAAAUAUUCUACUCCUGGGUCUUUCUCCUCGGGAAGUAACUCAACAGAAGCAAAAAGAGGUGUAUACAAAAACCAAAUAUAAAAACAAACAAAUCUUUCCUCCCUCUUUCCUCCCACUGCCAAAAAAUGAAAGCUGGGAAUAGCCUAAAUUUCCAACUUAGUUGAAUUGUUCAAUAUAUUAGAGUUCAUCAAUAUGAGAGAAUAUUAUGCAUCUAAUAAUUGUGACGACUAUGUAUAAACAUGGAAAAUAUUUAAGAUCUGAUGUUUAACUAGCAUAUACACUAUUAUUGUAGCUAUGAGAAAGAAAUACUGCAUAUUUAGAAAUUAAUAUACAAAAAUGAAAACAACUAUGUUUGGGGACAGUGAUUAUGUACUUUUAAAUUUUUUUUAAUCUUGUUAUCUUUAAACUUUUCUAAAAAUGAUGUGAUUACAAGCAAUGGCUCUUUGGGAUCACCUAAUAAAUACCUACUAAAUUCUAGACGGGACAACGAGCUCUGCCAUCCUGCAAUGGCUCCUGUGACCUAGUUCCAGGGCCAUUCUGAAUGGACAGAGGUCUUCACAAUGGAGGUGGAGAUGCAGGGAGCUCUAUGGCAUGAAAUGGUUAAUGAUUCUCUUUUGUAAUUGUGUUUUCUGUUUGCUGCCUUAGUUCUAAAAGGAGGCAAAACAACUGUGGUUUAUUCUACCUUUUCCAGGCAUAGUUCUUCUCCUACCUUUGUGAUCCCCAAAUUAAUAUCAAAUGUCUAAUUAGUUUUUUUCUCCAUUGGUGAUCCCCAAAUUAAUAUCAAAUGUCAGACAAAGUAAAUCAAAGUACAAAUAAAGGUAAAACUGCUCUUGCAAAGGGCUAAAAUAGCAAUGUUUACUAGAAGCAUUCAAGAGCCAGUUCAAUUUCCUAUUUCUCAUUAAGUGGUAAAAUAGUAAUGCCAAGACCACAUCCCAGAAUCUCCAGGGUAACAGAGGCCCAACGAAGGGCUGCAGAGAAACUUGAAAGUAAACUGGCUUAGUUCUUUACACACAGAAAUUGUUCUACAAAGAUCUCUUGCAAAGCAGUGUCACCAGUAGCAUCACUGCCACUAAGCCAAUGUCCCAGGAAUUGAGGAAAGGAAGACACCCUUAAAGAAAAAAAUGGAAAAAAGCCACAAGGACUGGUACCACAGUAAAUGUCUGCCUGGGUCUCCCUAAACUGUCUUAGGUGAGCUUACCCAGGAAUGUUUCUCCCCUACAUGUUUGCCUUCCUUUGUUUAAGCCUUUAUUCCUCCUAAAUGAAAAUAAAUACCCCCGACUGGGGAACGUGGAGUUUGGAGUGUGUGCAAGAGUGUGGAUUCAUUAAAACUUAACGAGCAGAGUACUUAAGUGAAUGAGUUUACUGGAACUUGUUGGGGGAAGUAGGUUUUGUUAGCUGGU